UUUGUGCGAAAGUAGCCAUCAAAACAGAGUGCAAAACAAAAUCAAAAUUCGCCCCCCACUGCAAAAUUAGUUUAAAAUGUCCGCAGCGCAGGAGCUAAUUUCUAUUUUCGGAUUGCUAAGAAAGACUACAUUGAACAUAUUGAACGAAAGCCUAUUGGAAAUGACUCAUUCGUACCGCAGUUUGCCGUCUCCCGCCAUGAUCACCACCUAACGGUUUGCUCCCUGCCGCAAAACUCGAGUGUAUGCUGAAUCGGAAGCUCCAUGCUACGAUAAACAGAAGUGUUUGCAGUGACCCGCAGUGAUUCCCCUACGGAGAAUGUCGAUCUUAUUGAAGCUUUCCUUUUUCCUGUUGGAUCAGCUAGUCGAAAAAAUGAGUCAGUAUGGUUCCUGAAAGACCAGCUUGUACUGUGGAACGGGAAGUUGACCAUCCUUGACCUGAACCUGGAUGUUCAUCAGCGUUGAACAUGGAAUUGGUGUCGAAAAGUACAAACGGCCAGGCGACUGCAGUGAUUCUGAGGAAAUCGCGGAUCGAGACCAUCAGCGUCGGAGGACAGCCAGGAGAGGAAUCUCCCGUUUUUCAAAAUUGAAAAUGAUUGG
Armigeres subalbatus is the source of this 597-nucleotide long non-coding RNA. RefSeq lists it as uncharacterized. NCBI's taxonomy places the organism in Eukaryota, Metazoa, Arthropoda, Insecta, Diptera, Culicidae. The transcript has 4 exons. The record is from RefSeq and is a predicted model, not a curated record.